CGUUGAAACGCCUGUUCUCGUACGAUCACCGAAGUUAAGCAACGACGAGUCUGGUCAGUACUUAGAUGGGCGACUACUUGAGAAUACCAA
Acanthosepion pharaonis is the source of this 90-nucleotide non-coding RNA. NCBI's taxonomy places the organism in Eukaryota, Metazoa, Mollusca, Cephalopoda, Sepiida, Sepiidae. The record is from the annotation of a GenBank genome assembly.